This 386-nucleotide long non-coding RNA is filed under the name Rhinopithecus bieti (black snub-nosed monkey). RNAcentral describes it as "lncRNA (ENSRBIG00000045555.1)". The record is from RNAcentral. Lineage: Eukaryota; Metazoa; Chordata; Mammalia; Primates; Cercopithecidae.
UUUCUUUGGUGUGGACAUCAAAAACUCAAGUAUCUACAGGGGCCAAGCAGGUCACCAAAAUGGGUGGUGCCCCUGGGUGGGGACGGGGUUGAACUGGAGAGCCACGUCCAGUCUUAAGUGAGCAGCGUGUUCGGCAACUGACAUGAGCUGAGCAGAGCAAAUAUGGUUGUCAGAGGUUCUGAUUUCUCUUCACUGGAAGAUUUGAAAGGCUAUCUAGUGAAUCAAUAUCUGAAAAUUCGGCUGUCCAAAAACAUCUGUCACCAUGGAUUGCCCAUACCUUGCGGCCCUGGGGUAGCCUCUCAGCUUAAGCCCAGUGUUCACCAAUCAGUUGCUAAUAACUGGAGCUGAAAGAGGGCUCUGCCCUAAUGCCAUUAUGUUCAAGAGCC